CUUCACCCCGGGAAAAACGUGGAUGGAGAGUUGGUGGGGUAUGGUAGCGCACAACCGUUUGACAAGGUCCAUUUCAAGUCUAAUACUAACACUAGUAGAAAAAAUGAAAUAGGCACCUGACUUCGCACCGGUUUGAACCGGUGCGAAUUAAAAAAGAGAAAAAAAAAGGAGAAAGGGGUUUCGCACCGGUUCAGACCAAACCGAUGCGAAAUGAUGUUACUAGCACCGUGCGAAAUUAAAAAAAAAAUAUGAAAAAAAUUCCACUGACCCUUCUUUCUCUUUCAUUCCCCUCUUCUUUCUUUUUGUUUCCUCAGCGCCAUUUUAUCUCUCUCUUCUCUCUUCUCUCUCCUCUCUCCUCAAACAAACCCUAAUCAACGACCUCCUGCUCCUUCCUUAUCUUCUUUCUCUUCUUCCUCUUCUUCCUCUUUCAUGUUGUCGGCGUGUUGGUCGGUCCUAGCAACGGCGGCAAUGGCACAAGGAGCUGGUACAAACCCACCUCUCGUCAUUUCCCCCUCCCGAAAUGAUUUUCCCUGAAGGAUUUCUAUGAGGAUUUAUUCGAGGAACUAAACAAGUACGGGGAGAUUAAGAGUCUCAACAUUUGUGACAAUUUGGCUGACCACAUGCAUAAGCACAGAGACGCCAUUCUCUUUCUAGUUGAAAAUCAUGCUACAACCAUUGUUGUCGGCGAAACUGGCAGCGGAAAAACUACUCAAAUUUUAUUGUUUCGAUUGUUAAUUAAUUUUGAUGAAUUUUGUUUGUUUUUGUUGGAAUUUCUAGUAUUUGAAUGAAGGAGGAUGGACUGAUUCUGGUCAUGUUAUUGCUUGCACUCAGCCUCGCCGUCUCGCUGUUCAGAGUUGUCAUGGUAGAUGAAGCACAUGAAAGGUCUAUUUCAACAUAUGUUGUACUUGGUCUCUUGAAAAAGAUUCAAAGGCGUAGGCCUGAACUGCGUUUGAUUAUAUCAUAUACGAGUGCAACUGUACAAGUUUUGACAGUGGUUUCCAUUCCCUAUUUCCUCUUCUGGUGCAGGAUGGCAUCCACAAUGCUUAUUGAAAAGCUCUCAAUGAAUCUCUGCAUGAUUUCAAGUACUAAUCUGGGGUAGUUUUCCAUGAGCUAAAGGAGUUUUACCCCCUGAGCUUUGGAGCCUGAAGGAUGACAGAGUAAGCUAUGGCGGAAGAUGUGGAGUACUUUGUACACCUUUGAGGAUUACACAAUAAGGAAAAUGUCAGCAGAAGAGGAAAGGCAAAGGCAGGUUGGCAUAGCAGAAGUCCCUACGUCGAAGUAAGGCCCGGUUCAAAACCGGUGCUAAAUAUCUUUGUUUUGAACCGGUGCGAAAUGUAUGGGGUUUUAGCACCCCCCAAAUAUAAGGACCGGUUCAAAACCGGUGCUAAAUGGGGGGUUUGAACCGGUGCGGAUUACGUGUUUUCGCCUAGUGUAAUACCCACUAUAUCUCGGUCGGCUUCAAUUCCAUAGUACCUGGGUUUGAGGACUUGCCACUACUGGUGCCUAGAGAGGAAUAUGACUUCAUCACGCUGCUUGAUGCGAAAGGUAGCUUUGUGCAAUGGCCACGUGAUCGGGUGAGGUUGAUAGGAGGGGAAGAAGGUGGAGAAGCCAAAAUUUAAGAAUGUCCGACCUACAAAGAACAUGAUUAAGGAUAAGGGUUGAAGAAGAGUUCGAGAGGUUCUGCCACGAGUUGUACUCCACUAGUAGAACCCGAUGUCCUUCAUUCGCUCUCUAAAGCUUCUACUUUUCUUCACAACCGUGUUAGUGAGUUGCCUAGGGGUAGAUCUAUUGAAGUGAAUUUACCUAAGGCAUUGUUCCACUAUGAUGAGGAUGGGAUCGCACCAAUUGCAAAAGAGGAUGUGAAGGAAUUUCUAUCCGGUGCCAUGCUUAACAUUUCCAUCAAGAUUUCAUGAGGGCACUACAGGAGCACUUUGGUAGUGGAUGCAAUUCCGAGGCUGCAGUUGGGUGGUUUUACCCCGAGCAGACCUCCAUUACCAGAUGCUUAUGCAACCCUCGUGAAGUGGAAGAUUACCUAGAACGGAGUAUUAAGGAAUCAACGUGUGCGGGAUAUAAGUUCAUAUUAGCCCCAUGUUUUGAGGAUGCUCAUUGGAGCCUUUUGGUGAUUUGUGUUUCCAAAAACACAAUCUACCACUUUGAUUCAGUUCGUGAGACUCCACCACGGAAGUUGCUGGUGAAGAACCUAUUGAAUAGAGUGUUAUGAAGAAGCUAAAUUGUCGUUCAGUUGUGGGUCCUACGUGGAAAUAUGCAAAGUGUGCGCAACAAGACAACGAACUUGAUUUUGCCCUAUACGUGAUGAGGUUUAUGCUUGACAUAGUCAAUAGUUGCAUGGAAGCACAACACCUAUAUGAGGCAGCUGCAGUAACCAAGACAGGCAGGCCAUACCACUGCAGCAGCCCAGGCAGGCAGGCCAGGCAGCUGCAGCAGCCAAGGCAGGCUGCCCAGGCACCACUGCAACAGCCCAGCCAGGCAGCUGCACAGCAGCCUCUACAUGCACGUGAUUUUGGUGCAUUUCGGUGAUUUUGUUUUGCAAGGUUCAAAGAGAAGGCUCGUUAACAAGCAAGGAAAUCAAUGAAGAUCGCGACAUGUGGGCUUUUUUCGUCACAUUUGAUGGCAUCUAGCUAGAAUUGUCGUAAUGGUUAUAUUGGUUUUUUAGCUUAACUUUAUUAAUUAGUUAUUAUCAACAUUAUAUAUUUUAAUUAAGUACAUGUUAGUACGUUGUAUUUGUAAUUGUAAUCUUAAUAUUUGUUUGGUGUAAUUAAAUAUUGUUGUUCAUUAAAUAUAUUAAUGAUGUU
Molecule: long non-coding RNA, 2813 nt
Organism: Chenopodium quinoa (quinoa)
Lineage: Eukaryota; Viridiplantae; Streptophyta; Magnoliopsida; Caryophyllales; Amaranthaceae
Exons: 13
Source: RefSeq, a predicted model, not a curated record